Molecule: long non-coding RNA, 1110 nt
Filed under: Sus scrofa (pig)
Lineage: Eukaryota; Metazoa; Chordata; Mammalia; Artiodactyla; Suidae
Description: lncRNA (ENSSSCG00025021240.1)
Source: RNAcentral
GGCUGCGUUACCACCGACCAGUCCUCAGCCGGCAACAUGAAGCUGGGUGGCCUCUGCCUCCUGCUCCUCCUCGCCGUCCUUCUCACCCUCAAUGCAGAGUUCCAAGCAGUUGAUGUAGGUAUCUGUGUGACGGAGUGCAAGGUAGACCAGGACUGUGGGGCAGGAAGACGAUGCACCAGCAAUGGAUGUGGCCGGGUCUGCUCCCCAGUCCGGCGAAGAGAGGCCUGCGAGCACCAGUGCAGAGAAGACAGGGACUGUGGGAGUGGACAUCAGUGCGUGAGGAAGGGCUGUGGGCACGUCUGCGCCCCCGUCCAUCAAGUCGAUGUAGGUAUCUGUGUGACGGAGUGCAAGGUAGACCAGGACUGUGGGGAAGGAAGACGAUGCACCAGCAAUGGGUGUGGCCGUGUCUGCUCCCCAGUCCAGCAAAAAGAGGCCUGCGAGCACCAGUGCAGAGAAGACAGGGACUGUGGGAGUGGACAUCAGUGCGUGAGGAAGGGCUGUGGGCACGUCUGCGCCCCCGUCCAUCAAGUCGAUGUAGGUAUCUGUGUGACGGAGUGCCGUGUAGACCAGGACUGUGGGGAAGGAAGACAAUGCACCAGCAAUGGAUGUGGCCGUGUCUGCUCCCCAGCCCAGCAAAGAGAGGCCUGCGAGCACCAAUGCAGAGAAGACAAGGACUGUGGGAGUGGACAUCAGUGCGUGAGGAAGGGCUGUGGGCACGUCUGCUCCCCCAUCCCUCAAGUAGGUAUCUGUGUGACGGAGUGCAAUGUAGACCAGGACUGUGGGGCAGGAAGACGAUGCACCAGCAAUGGAUGUGGCCGUGUCUGCUCCCCACCCCAGGGAGGAGGACUCUGUGUGGACCGCUGCCGAGGAAACUGGGACUGUGGGGCCGGAGAAGAAUGUAUCAGGAAGGGAUGUGGACGGGUCUGCUCUCCAGCCCAGGAGCCAGUGGUAGGUAUCUGUGUGGAUCAGUGCCAAAGACACUGGGAAUGUGGUCCACGGAUGCGGUGUGUCUCCACUGGAUGUGGCCACAUCUGCUCACCAGCCCAAGACCAAGGUAAGAGGUGCAAGCCUUGCCUUCCAAGCCCCUGACUGACUGAAUGCUUGGCUCUG